CCUACGGGUGGCAGCAGUGGGGAAUAUUGCGCAAUGGGCGAAAGCCUGACGCAGCGACGCCGCGUGAGGGAUGAAGGUCUUCGGAUCGUAAACCUCUGUCAGCAGGGAAGAACGGUCACUGUGCUAAUCAGCAGUGCAUUGACGGUACCUGCACAGGAAGCACCGGCUAACUCCGUGCCAGCAGCCGCGGUAAUACGGAGGGUGCGAGCGUUAAUCGGAAUUACUGGGCGUAAAGGGCUCGUAGGCGGUAUGUCAAGUCAAGGGUGAAAUCCCCGCGCUCAACGUGGGGACUGCCUUUGAAACUGGCAAACUGGAGUGUGUGAGAGGAUGGCGGAAUUCCAGGUGUAGGAGUGAAAUCCGUAGAUAUCUGGAGGAACAUCAGUGGCGAAGGCGACUAUCUGGCACAUAACUGACGCUGAGGAGCGAAAGCGUAGGUAGCAAACAGGAUUAGAUACCCCAGUAGUC
RNAcentral lists this ribosomal RNA (465 nucleotides) under uncultured bacterium. RNAcentral's name for it is "partial 16S ribosomal RNA". It matches the Rfam family "Bacterial small subunit ribosomal RNA", at positions 338 to 795 of the family's 1533-position model. The record is from RNAcentral.